Halteromyces radiatus is the source of this 73-nucleotide non-coding RNA. NCBI's taxonomy places the organism in Eukaryota, Fungi, Mucoromycota, Mucoromycetes, Mucorales, Cunninghamellaceae. The record is from the annotation of a RefSeq genome assembly.
GUCUCAAUAGCUCAGUUGGGAGAGCGUCAGACUGAAGUUCUGAAGGCCGGGUGUUCGAACCACCCUUGGGACA